CAAGUCGAGUGCGCGUCUGUAGCAAUACAGAUGGCGCACGGCGCACGGGUGCGUAACACGUGGGUAAUCUGCCCUUCGAGGGGGAAUAACUCGCCGAAAGGCGAGCUAAUUCCGCAUAACAUUCCGAGAACCUUGGUUUUUGGAUUCAAAGGCGUAAGUCGUCGGAGGAGGAGCCCGCGCACGAUUAGCUAGUUGGUAGGGUAACGGCCUACCAAGGCUAUGAUCGUUAGCUGGUCUGAGAGGAUGGCCACCCACACUGGAACUGAGACACGGUCCAGACUCCUACGGGAGGCAGCAGUGGGGAAUCUUGCCCCAUGGGCGAAAGCCUGAU
Molecule: ribosomal RNA, 331 nt
Filed under: uncultured bacterium
Lineage: Bacteria
Description: bacterial SSU rRNA
Rfam family: Bacterial small subunit ribosomal RNA
Source: RNAcentral